GACGAACGCUGGCGGCGCGCUUAACACAUGCAAGUCGAGCGAGAACCAGUCCUUCGGGGCUGGGGACAGCGGCGAACGGGUGAGUAACACGUGGGUAAUCUGCCCUCGGCACCGGAAUAGCCCGGGGAAACCCGGAUUAAUGCCGGAUGGCCUCUCUGCCCGUCGGGGCGGCGAGAAAAGGUAGCUUCGGCCUCCGGCCGAGGAUGAGCCCGCGGCCGAUUAGCUUGUUGGUGAGGUAACGGCUCACCAAGGCGACGAUCGGUAGCUGGUCUGAGAGGACGAUAAGCCACACUGGGACUGAGACACGGCCCAGACGUCUACGGGAGGCAGCAGUGGGGAAUCUUGCGCAAUGGGCGAAAGCCUGACGCAGCGACGCCGCGUGCGGGAAGAAGGCCUUCGGGUUGUAAAGCACUUUAAGCGAGGAGGAGGCUACCUGGAUUAAUACUCUAGGAUAGUGGACGUUACUCGCAGAAUAAGCACCGGCUAACUCUGUGCCAGCAGCCGCGGUAA
This 510-nucleotide ribosomal RNA is filed under the name uncultured bacterium. Its description in RNAcentral is "partial 16S ribosomal RNA". It matches the Rfam family "Bacterial small subunit ribosomal RNA", at positions 28 to 523 of the family's 1533-position model. The record is from RNAcentral.